GUGCACUGAGAUGUCUCAGUUUCCCAAAAUUGUUGUUAGUCAGCAUGCUACAGUUCUGUGAGGCUCUUAUGCAAUAUCUACUUCAGGCUGAUUUGUUCUAAGCAAGGAUCUCGUUGCCCCUUCCUCAAGAUGUGCCAAUGUUAUUUCUUAUACUGCCAGAGUAUUACAUGGAGGAUUUGGCAGACUACUUUCUGCUUGUCAUACACUGGUUGAAGGGAGGCUGAAUAUAGAUAGACAUGACAAUUACUCCUAGACAUCACCCCUCUCUAAUGUCACUGAUACAGAGGAGAAGAAUGCUGUACCACCACCAUCAUUUACUCACAGACGGGAGUUUACCACCUGUGACAAGCCUGGCUUCCUGGUUGUGACUGAACUUGCAAGUUGUUGAGAAUUCAGGCAAGGUUUGUCAGAGCCUUCUCUCCCCCC
Molecule: long non-coding RNA, 426 nt
Organism: Lingula anatina
Lineage: Eukaryota; Metazoa; Brachiopoda; Lingulata; Lingulida; Lingulidae
Source: RefSeq, a predicted model, not a curated record